GAUGAACGCUGGCGGCGCGCCUAACACAUGCAAGUCGAACGGUUAAAGCACCUUUUUGGUGUGUGUAAAAUUGCCAACGGCUGAGUAAACCCUGGGCAACCUGCCCUCCUCCUUGGGGUAAACUCGGGGAACCGGGGGUAAAUACCGAUAAUUCACUGUGGCCGCAUGACGACAGUGGGAAAGCUUUUGCGGAUAGGGAUGGGCCCGCGGCCUGUUAGCUUGUUGGUGGGGUAGAGGCCUACCAAGGCAUUGAUGGGUAGCCGGGUUGAGAGGCGGACCAGGCAGAUUGGGACUGAGAAACGGGCCAGACUCCUACGGGAGGCAGCAGGGGGGAAUCUUGCACAAUGGGCGGAAGCCUGAUGCAGGGACGCCGGGGGCGGGGCGAAGGGCUUCGGGUUGUAAACCGGUUUCAGCAUGUACGAGGCGGUAAGUGACGGUAACUGCAGAAGAAGCCCCGGCUAACUACGUG
Molecule: ribosomal RNA, 469 nt
Filed under: uncultured bacterium
Lineage: Bacteria
Description: partial 16S ribosomal RNA
Rfam family: Bacterial small subunit ribosomal RNA
Source: RNAcentral